RNAcentral lists this ribosomal RNA (468 nucleotides) under uncultured bacterium. RNAcentral describes it as "partial 16S ribosomal RNA". It matches the Rfam family "Bacterial small subunit ribosomal RNA", at positions 28 to 507 of the family's 1533-position model. The record is from RNAcentral.
GACGAACGCUGGCGGCGUGCUUAACACCUGCAAGUCGAACGGAAAGGCCCUGCUUUUUUGGGGUGCUCGAGUGGCGAACGGGUGAGUAACACGUGAGUAACCUGCCCUUGACUUUGGGAUAACUUCAGGUAACUGGGGCUAAUACCGGAUAGGAGCUCCUGCUGCAUGGUGGGGGUUGGAAAGUUUCGGCGGUUGGGGAUGGACUCGCGGCUUAUCAGCUUGUUGGUGGGGUAGUAGCUUACCAAGGCUUUGACGGGUAGCCGGCCUGCGAGGGUGACCGGCCCCGUGGAGCCUAAGAGAGAGCCCAGACUCAGAAGGGAGGGACUGGUGGGGAAUAUUGCCCAAUGGGCGGCAGCCAGAAGGAGCAAAGCCGCAUGCUGGAUGAGGGCCAUCUGCUGGUAAGCAGCUUUUGCCUGUGACAAACCGUGAAAGACGGUAAUGGGUGAAGAAGCACCAGCUAACUACGUG